RNAcentral lists this ribosomal RNA (462 nucleotides) under uncultured Smithella sp. Its description in RNAcentral is "bacterial SSU rRNA". It matches the Rfam family "Bacterial small subunit ribosomal RNA", at positions 920 to 1382 of the family's 1533-position model. The record is from RNAcentral. Lineage: Bacteria; Pseudomonadati; Thermodesulfobacteriota; Syntrophia; Syntrophales; Smithellaceae.
CCCGCACAAGCGGUGGAGCAUGUGGUUUAAUUCGAUGCAACGCGAGAACCUUACCUAGGCUUGACAUCCCUGGAAUUUUGUGGAAACACAAAAGUGCCUUUCGGGGAACCAGGAGACAGGUGCUGCAUGGCUGUCGUCAGCUCGUGUCGUGAGAUGUUGGGUUAAGUCCCGCAACGAGCGCAACCCUUAUCUUUAAUUGCCAGCAUUCAGUUGGGCACUCUAGCGAGACUGCCGGUAAUAAACCGGAGGAAGGUGGGAUGACGUCAAAUCAUCAUGCCCCUUAUGACCUGGGCUACACACGUGCUACAAUGGUUGGUACAACGAGUUGCGAGUCGGUGACGGCGAGCUAAUCUCUUAAAGCCAAUCUCAGUUCGGAUUGUAGGCUGCAACUCGCCUACAUGAAGUCGGAAUCGCUAGUAAUCGCGGAUCAGCACGCCCGCGGUCGAAUACGUUCCGGGCCUU